UGCCUCUUGUAUCUGAGCAACGUUGACCCAUAUUCAUUUCCUGAAGUGGGAAAUUUACACAUGUGCUACUAAUUUGGAUUAUUCAAAGAUUAAAAAGGAUGUUUACUUACCACAGCUUUCCGGUAUGUGUGAAUUCAUAAGACCAAGCUCCCAAGCUCGCUUUAUAAGUGGAACAGGAUACUGAAACAGACAUGGAAAAAUCACCUUCUGAUUCAUCACAACCAAAACUUUAAAUUUCAUGCAGGUUAAGAUAAAAGUCUGUUUCAUCCCAAUUUUUCCCUUACACUGUGGUAGAAUUUACCUCUCCGGUUUUGUCAUAUUGUGCAGCAACAGGAAUAAUUUCCUCCACAGCAAAUUUACGAGCAGUAGCUUGAAACUCUUUCUGCUCAUCAGUAAGUUCUAUUUUAAAAAAGGAAGAGAAAAAGAUCAUAAAUCCUCUGCUGUCUUUUACUUUGCCAAUUGUCAAGACUACGAUAAAAAAAAAAAAAAACAACAAGAGCAUCCUUCCAGGACAACCCAAACCCCAAACCACUAUUUGGGGCUCUUCAGGAAGCAAAAAAGUUCAGGUUCCUCUUCCUCCUGGGAGAAAACCUCCACUGUUCUCUGAUCAACCCCUAUAUGCACUUACUUAUGUCUGAUGAAAUUAUCCACAAAAUAUUGAAAAUGAAGCAGAGAGGACUAUGCAACAUAAAGUGUAUUACCAGAAGAAAUAAAAAGAAUGCUGUGCUAAUUAAAAGCAUAAAAAGACUGAGGUUACCCAAAUAUCUUGACUCUUCAACUUCAAACAUCUAGCUCUGAUCCUCUAAAUUUGCUUGUACAUAUAUAUUAUAUAUAAUAUGCCAAGAUGAAGAUAAAUUUAUUUUUUUACAUUUCUUGAUAACCAAAUUCAACUAUGACUACAUUUAGGUACUGUAACAUUGAAAACAGCAAUAUGAGGAGCAGCCCUUGAUAGACUAAUGCGUAACUUUACCACCAAAAGGUUUUGCCUACACCUGGAAAAGUACUUGAUUCAAACUAAUGCUACAAGUGAUACCCUAUAUGAAAGAAGCUGUAAAAUUUAAACCAGUUAAAUUAUGCCUAUUGUAUAGUAUGCAAGGUAACACUGAAGAUUACUCUGGAAAAACUCAGCAAUACCUCCACAAACAACUGUGGACAGAUGUGACUCAUACCUGGAAGCUGCAUCACUGAUCAGAUGACAAAGGAUGAGGGUUUGCUACAUGUAAGAAUUUGGAUGACCAUCUGUCUACUUGUCAACUUUCCCGUUGCUUGACUCUGAGAAACAGUUGGAUUCAGUGACAAACUACUGCUAGUGAUGUUUAGAUACAACUCCUACUGCAUUUCUUUGCACUACUGUAUAAACUCUAUUACAAUUACAAAUAUGACCAUCAGUGUAGCAAGACUAACACUGGAAGAAUAUGCUGUCAGGAGAAGGGUAUGACAAGGCUACUCACGAAAGUGAUGCAUUUAUUUAUUACCUUGAUGGCAAAAGAACUAUAGAACCUGUUUGAAAAGAUGUACGUCACAGGAAACGCUGGGACAACAACAAGCUAAGGGUCGCUAACCUUGAUUCUGCCUCACGUAUCUCAGGGCAAAAUGGAAAAUAAUUAUCAAGAGCAGUUUGUUGCUGGGGUAACAUGUCAGGAGGCUGAACUUGAAAUAGUAAUUUCCUCCCUAUGGGCUUCCUUUGCCUAAAGCAUUACUUUUGAUCCAUAAGAUACCAACUUCAGAUGGAGACUUCUUCCCUCACUGACUUCCCUCACUCUUAACAGGAACACUUAGGACCUGCGGCCAAGCUGCAUACAUUUGGGGCAAACUAAUACUGCUGCUAGGAGGCUGUGAAGGGCCAUUCAAGUAAUUCAGACUCAUGAAUACCUCUGGAAAUGGGGAAUCCAGAAAAAGACAUGUGUCGUGCUAGAUGUGUUUUGAAUAGUUUUAAUUUUCUAGUUUGAAGCUGUGAGGUUAUUGGUGGUUCACUACAGUAGAAGGUUUGUACUUUAGAAAACCAACUAUUAUAUUUCACACAUAUUUUUAGAAAAUUAACGUAGGUAGUUAAUAGAUAUCACAGCUAUGUAUGCUAAAGGAAAUGCAUUGAAUAAAAUACCCUGAACUCUAA
This is a long non-coding RNA of Taeniopygia guttata (zebra finch), 2113 nucleotides long. RefSeq lists it as uncharacterized. NCBI's taxonomy places the organism in Eukaryota, Metazoa, Chordata, Aves, Passeriformes, Estrildidae. The record is from RefSeq and is a predicted model, not a curated record.